This 106-nucleotide non-coding RNA is filed under the name Exiguobacterium artemiae 255-15. Its description in RNAcentral is "Exiguobacterium sibiricum 255-15 TPP riboswitch aptamer (THI element)". It matches the Rfam family "TPP riboswitch aptamer (THI element)". Rfam says of the family: Vitamin B(1) in its active form thiamin pyrophosphate (TPP) is an essential coenzyme that is synthesised by coupling of pyrimidine and thiazole moieties in bacteria. The previously detected thiamin-regulatory element, thi box was extended, resulting in a new, highly conserved RNA secondary structure, the THI element, which is widely distributed in eubacteria and also occurs in some archaea. Lineage: Bacteria; Bacillati; Bacillota; Bacilli; Caryophanales. RNAcentral also lists the same sequence under 1 other name. The record is from Rfam by way of RNAcentral.
AGCGACCACUAGGGGAGUCAGUAGGCUGACUGAGACGACGGAGACGUGCGGACCCUUUGAACCUGAUUAAGUUUGGACUUACGGAGGGAAGUGGCGUGACAGAUCC